UAAGUUGAAAGAAUUGUAGAUUUUGA
Molecule: microRNA, 26 nt
Filed under: Bombyx mori (domestic silkworm)
Lineage: Eukaryota; Metazoa; Arthropoda; Insecta; Lepidoptera; Bombycidae
Description: bmo-miR-3001
Source: miRBase by way of RNAcentral